Molecule: long non-coding RNA, 416 nt
Organism: Caretta caretta (loggerhead turtle)
Lineage: Eukaryota; Metazoa; Chordata; Testudines; Cheloniidae
Source: RefSeq, a predicted model, not a curated record
CAAGGUUUAGAAAUAAACAAAACUUGGCUGUAAAAUUUUGCUGUGCUGGAAUAGAAUACCUAUUCUCUGAUAGUGAUUGUCAGCCUACAGAAAAAGACAAUUCCCUUGUCUCUGCUCUGGGCCCAAAUCAAAGCAAAAAACCUCCAACUACUUGGAAACCUGCUUACCAGCAGCCCAACGGAAAAAAAAAAUUCCUUUUCAAACCUGUGCUCCUUGUAAAACAAAAAAAUCAAAAUCCUAAAAAAAAAACCCUGCCACUUUUGUCUCGAGGCAAAUGGGUAGAACACCCCCCUCCCUAUUUACUUUUAGGGGAAAAAAAAACAAACCUCUGGGUUGGAAGACUGUGAAUUUCCCUGCAGGAGUUAAGUACCCUGCCUCCAGGCAAAGAAAACCUGCAAUUCACAAAGAUAAUCCCC